CCUACGGGGGGCAGCAGUGAGGAAUAUUGGUCAAUGGACGCGAGUCUGAACCAGCCAAGUAGCGUGAAGGAUGACUGCCCUAUGGGUUGUAAACUUCUUUUAUAUGGGAAUAAAAUGUUCCACGUGUGGCUUUUUGUAUGUACUAUAUGAAUAAGGAUCGGCUAACUCCGUGCCAGCAGCCGCGGUAAGACGGAGGAUCCGAGCGUUAUCCGGAUUUAUUGGGUUUAAAGGGAGCGUAGAUGGAUUGUUAAGUCAGUUGUGAAAGUUUGCGGCUCAACCGUAAAAUUGCAGUUGAAACUGGCAGUCUUGAGUACAGUAGAGGUGGGCGGAAUUCGUGGUGUAGCGGUGAAAUGCUUAGAGAUCACGAAGAACUCCGAGUGCGAAGGCAGCUUACUAGACUGCCACUGACACUGAGGCUCGAAAGUGUGGGUAUCAAACAGGAUUAGAUACCCCAGUAGUC
RNAcentral lists this ribosomal RNA (460 nucleotides) under uncultured bacterium. RNAcentral's name for it is "partial 16S ribosomal RNA". It matches the Rfam family "Bacterial small subunit ribosomal RNA", at positions 338 to 795 of the family's 1533-position model. The record is from RNAcentral.